Molecule: ribosomal RNA, 477 nt
Filed under: Sciomesa mesophaea
Lineage: Eukaryota; Metazoa; Arthropoda; Insecta; Lepidoptera; Noctuidae
Description: partial 16S large subunit ribosomal RNA
Source: RNAcentral
UGUCUUUUUGAAAAUAAUAUAAAGUCUAAUCUGCCCACUGAUUUAAUAAUUGAAGGGCUGCAGUAUAUUGACUGUACAAAGGUAGCAUAAUCAUUAGUCAUUUAAUUGAUGACUUGUAUGAAGGAUUGGAUGAAAUAUAGACUGUCUCUUAUUUAAAUAUAGAAUUUAAUUUUUUAAUUAAAAAGUUAAAAUAAUUUAAAAAGACGAGAAGACCCUAUAGAGUUUUAUAAAUAAAUUAAUUGAGAUUAUUUAUUAAAUAAAAUUAAAAUUAAGUUGUUUAUUAUAUUGGGGUGAUAGAAAAAUGUAAUUAACUUUUUUUUUAUAUGAAAACAUUUAUAAGUGAUUAUAUGAUCCAAUAUUAUUGAUUAUAAGAAAAAAUUACCUUAGGGAUAACAGCGUAAUUUUUUUUUUUAGUUCAUAUAAGAAAAAGAGUUUGCGACCUCGAUGUUGGAUUAAGAUAAAAUUUAAAUGCAGAAG